Molecule: long non-coding RNA, 484 nt
Filed under: Bos indicus x Bos taurus (hybrid cattle)
Lineage: Eukaryota; Metazoa; Chordata; Mammalia; Artiodactyla; Bovidae
Description: lncRNA (ENSBIXG00005027506.1)
Source: RNAcentral
CGGGGAUGGUGCCUUGGCGAGCCUGCUAGUCCGAGCCCUGGGGAUUCGUCCCGUCCUGCUCUCCGUUCAGUCAGCCGUUAUGUCCUUUCCGUGACCUCCUCCAGCAGGGUUUUAGUCAUAGCCAUCCACCCUAUGACUAAAUCAUGAAGAACGUCACAGAAUUAAGACAGCUAAAAUCAGGAAAGCAGAUGUGGAGGCAUUAGAAAGAAGACAGAGGUGGACCCUUCAUUUUGUUUGUUGUCAGGAACAUUGCUGCAGGGUCAGGUGUCUUCCUGCGCAGCGAUCUGUCUUGGACAGGAGGACUUGAGGGGGAGACCGGCAGACAGUCUGUUCUGUGCCGUGCUCGAGGGCCAGCAGCAGGGUGAGUUCUGUGCUGUGCUCCCAGAGCCAGCAGCAGGGCGCUCUGCGUAUGGUCCUUUUAAAGAUUUAAGGAUUGGGCUUUAGGUUCAGUCUGAGAGAAAGAUUGAUUGAUUUUAGCAUAUUG